Molecule: ribosomal RNA, 492 nt
Filed under: uncultured bacterium
Lineage: Bacteria
Description: partial 16S ribosomal RNA
Rfam family: Bacterial small subunit ribosomal RNA
Source: RNAcentral
AGUGAACGCUGGCGGUAGGCCUAACACAUGCAAGUCGAACGGCAGCACAGUAAGAGCUUGCUCUUACGGGUGGCGAGUGGCGGACGGGUGAGGAAUACAUCGGAAUCUACUUUUUCGGGGGGGAUAACGUAGGGAAACUUACGCUAAUACCGCAUACGACCUACGGGUGAAAGCAGGGGAUCUUCGGACCUUGCGCGAUUGAAUGAGCCGAUGUCGGAUUAGCUAGUUGGCGGGGUAAAGGCCCACCAAGGCGACGAUCCGUAGCUGGUCUGAGAGGAUGUUCACCCACACUGGAACUGAGACACGGUCCAGACUCCUACGGGAGGCAGCAGUGGGGAAUAUUGGACAAUGGGCUCAAGCCUGAUCCAGCCAUACCGCUUGGGUGAAGAAGGCCUUCGGGUUGUAAAGCCCUUUUGUUGGGAAAGAAAAGCAGCAGGUUAAUACCCCGCUGUUCUGACGGUACCCAAAGAAUAAGCACCGGCUAACUUCGUG